Molecule: small nuclear RNA, 310 nt
Filed under: Chinchilla lanigera (long-tailed chinchilla)
Lineage: Eukaryota; Metazoa; Chordata; Mammalia; Rodentia; Chinchillidae
Description: 7SK RNA (ENSCLAG00000021545.1)
Rfam family: 7SK RNA
About the family: 7SK was discovered as an abundant small nuclear RNA in the mid-70s but a possible function has only recently been suggested. Two independent studies have found that 7SK RNA binds the CDK9/cyclin T complex (known as elongation factor P-TEFb). P-TEFb activates transcription by phosphorylating the C-terminal domain of RNA polymerase II.
Source: Rfam by way of RNAcentral
GGAUGUGAGCGUCAUCUGGCUGCGACAUCUGUCCCCCCAUUGGUCGCCAGGGCUGGGUCGGCUGAUCUGGCUGUCUGGCCCGGUGUCCAGGUCCUCCUCAACGCUCCGUGUGCGUCCCUCCCAAAGCUGCGCGCUCGGUGGAAGAGGACGACCACGCCCCAUGGAGGAGACCAUUCCUCCAUCAAGGGUGUAGAGGAGCUGUGUUCCCCCGCUAGAACCUCAAAACAAACUCUCAAGAUCUUAUAUUUAGGUAUUUUACUUAUUUUGACUUGAUUUUCAUGUAUGGUAUAAAACAAGGGUACAAUUUCAU